UACAUGGAUAACUGUGGUAAUUCUAGAGCUAAUACAUGCCGAAUCGGCGCAUUUAUUAGAUCAAAACCAAUUUUGGUGAAUCUGAAUAACUCACGGUCCUCGAACCGGCGACGUAUCUUUCAAAUGUCUGCCUUAUCAACUUUCGAUGGUAGUUUAUGCGCCUACCAUGGUUGUAACGGGUAACGGAGAAUAAGGGUUCGAUACCGGAGAGGGAGCCUGAGAAACGGCUACCACAUCCAAGGAAGGCAGCAGGCACGCAAAUUACCCACUCCCGGCGGUGAGGUAGUGACGAAAAAUAACGAGGUGAUUCUCUAAACCAUCGGAAUGAGUACAAUUUAAAUCCUUUAACGAGGAUCUAUUGGAGGGCAAGUCUGGUGCCAGCAGCCGCGGUAAUUCCAGCUCCAAUAGCGUAUAUUAAAGUUGUUGCGUUUAAAAAGCUCGUAGUUGGAUCUGCUAGGAUGGCGGUCCCCCGAUGGGUGUGUCUCCGGUUUUCCCUUGGUGCUCUUUACUGAGUGUCUUGGGUGGCUGGAACGUUUACUUUGAAAAAAUUAGAGUGCUUAAAGCAGGCGCACGCCUGGAUAGUGGUGCAUGGAAUAAUGGAAUAGGAGGUUCUAUUUUGUUGGUUUUCGGAGCAGAGGUAAUGAUUAAGAGGGACAGACGGGGGCAUUCGUAUUGCGACGUUAGAGGUGAAAUUCUUGGA
RNAcentral lists this ribosomal RNA (700 nucleotides) under Litinium sp. Ugent CeMoFe18P31C14. RNAcentral's name for it is "SSU rRNA". It matches the Rfam family "Eukaryotic small subunit ribosomal RNA", at positions 136 to 924 of the family's 1831-position model. Lineage: Eukaryota; Metazoa; Nematoda; Enoplea; Enoplida; Oxystominidae. The record is from RNAcentral.